Molecule: unclassified non-coding RNA, 240 nt
Filed under: Bombus terrestris (buff-tailed bumblebee)
Lineage: Eukaryota; Metazoa; Arthropoda; Insecta; Hymenoptera; Apidae
Description: misc RNA ENSBTSG00005028855.1
Source: RNAcentral
GUGCCUGGAGGGAUACAAAUUUGGUCCUCUUUCACCAUCGUCCUUUGGAUAAUACCAUUGCUACAGAAGAAUAAUAUUGUAAGCAGAGAUAGGAAGAUACACGUCUUCAUUAUCGAGAACCGCUACGCGAAUGCCGAGUUAUUGUCCUGGUAGAUAGCUUUCACUUGACCACAAUACGGUACUUCAAUCCUCGGAGAAAAAGGAAAGCAUUCGUGCGUGUAGCUUGAAAAAGGACGGAGC